Molecule: ribosomal RNA, 159 nt
Filed under: Halobacteriovoraceae bacterium
Lineage: Bacteria; Pseudomonadati; Bdellovibrionota; Bacteriovoracia; Bacteriovoracales; Halobacteriovoraceae
Description: partial 23S ribosomal RNA
Rfam family: Bacterial large subunit ribosomal RNA
Source: RNAcentral
GGAAAGGAUAACCACUGAAAGCAUCUAAGUGGGAAGCCCCCUUCAAGAUAAGGUAUCUAUUAAGAGUCGUUCUAGACUAGGACGUUGAUAGGCCAGAUGUGUAAGCACAGUAAUGUGUUCAGCUGACUGGUACUAAAUACUCGUUUUGCUUUAUUUUUA